GAUGAACGCUGGCGGCGUGCCUAAUACAUGCAAGUCGAGCGAACAGAUGAUGAGCUUUCUCCUCUGACGUUAGCGGCGGACGGGCGAGUAACACGUGGAUAACCUACUUAUAAUACUGGGAUAAUUUCGGGAAACCGGAUCUAAUACCGGAUAAUAUAUUGAACCGCAUGGUUCAAUAGUGAAAGGCGGUUUUGCUGUUACUUAUAGCUGGUUCCGCGUCGCAUUAGCUAGUUGGUAAGGUAACGGCUUACCAAGGCGACGAUGCGUAGCCGACCUGAGAGGGUGAUCGGCCACACUGGAACUGAGACACGGUCCAGACUCCUACGGGAGGCAGCAGUGGGGAAUCUUGCGCAAUGGGCGAAAGCCUGACGGAGCAACGCCGCGUGAGUGAUGAAGGUCUUCGGAUCGUAAAACUCUGUUAUUAGGGAAGAACAAAAGUGUGAGUAACUAUGCACGUCUUGACGGUACCUAAACAGAAAGCCACGGCUAACUACGUG
RNAcentral lists this ribosomal RNA (497 nucleotides) under uncultured bacterium. RNAcentral's name for it is "partial 16S ribosomal RNA". It matches the Rfam family "Bacterial small subunit ribosomal RNA", at positions 28 to 507 of the family's 1533-position model. The record is from RNAcentral.